GACGAACGCUGGCGGCGGGCUUAACACAUGCAAGUCGAACGCGGCCUUCGGGCCGAGUGGCGCACGGGUGCGUAACACGUAGGUAACCUGCCCUCGAGUGGGGAAUAACCACCGGAAACGGUGGCUAAUACCGCAUGGAGUCGGUGCUCCGCAUGGGGCGUCGAUCAAAGCCUUCGGGUGCUCGGGGAUGGGCCUGCGGCGGAUUAGGUAGUUGGCAGGGUAACGGCCUACCAAGCCUGUGAUCCGUAGCUGGUCUGAGAGGAUGAUCAGCCACACUGGCACUGAGACACGGGCCAGACUCCUACGGGAGGCAGCAGUGAGGAAUCUUGCGCAAUGGAGGAAACUCUGACGCGGCCACGCCGCGUGCAGGAAGACCCCCCUAUGGGGCGUAAACUGCUUUCCUGUGAGAAGAAGGCCCUCCUGGGGAGGGUUUGACGGUAUCGCAGGAAUAAGCACCGGCUAACUCCGUGCCAGCAGCCGCGGUAAUACGGAGGGUGCAA
Molecule: ribosomal RNA, 500 nt
Filed under: uncultured bacterium
Lineage: Bacteria
Description: bacterial SSU rRNA
Rfam family: Bacterial small subunit ribosomal RNA
Source: RNAcentral